GGAUGAGCAUUAACAUUUCAUUCACUUCGCUCAAUUUUCACUCGGUUCAAGGAAAAGAAAUGAGGAACCCUCAAAGACAAAUCUUUUUCAAGGCAGUCACCAUUCCCCAAAUGCGAACUCUGCUAGCAGGAAAAUGAUGGGAUCGCCAAUUUGCUGGAGAUGAGCAAACGUGUAGAUGGCAGUUGCCAAAUUCUCACUAUGAUUCGUGUAUUCUACACUGAGAGGUGCGGCUGUGGACGUCCAAACCAGGUCCUGACUGGAUUCGGCCGAUUGGAUCUGAAAUGCACCAACAAGAUUCGGAAGAUGAGUGAAAUUUAAGCGGAUGGAUGGAUACAUUCUGCUCCCUGGCAGCUCGGGGGGAAAGAUGAGCCGCCAUUGGACACGCUUCCACCACAAAUGGACAAAAUGAAGAGGAUUGAUGCAAAGUGGGGAAGGAUGAGGGGAGAUUCGGAUUCGUCGCGGUGUCACUAUAAAUCUCGUUUUACCUGAAAAGCCAGAUCCAGGGUGAAGUUCAAGAGGGUGCAGAGGAGGAAGUGGAUGGACAGAAAUAGCUUGUAUCGCCGCCGAUGCGGAUCCUCGGGUUGGAUGAGGAGCUUUCGGAAUCGACCUCCGCCCUUACGGAUGAACCUUAUCUUGGCCCCGUUGCCAUUACUCACCAGGCCGUUGGUGUGGCCAUUGUGACCAUUGAUUGGCUCCGAAUCCAUGACCAAAUCUGGACGCGAGGUUGAGAUGGUGGUCGGUGGUACAGUAUUGAUGACAUGACCUGGAAUAUGGAGUGCAUGGCUUAGUUGCAAUGUUCGGCUAAGAAGACUGCAUGCAACCAUCUAAGCAUCUAACCAUCUAACCGUCCAACCCACCACCCAACCACCAACAAGUGAGGUAGAAAAACUGGAGAGAAUCGUGACAUUCAAAAAGCUAGUCCUAGUGUGUUAUGGUCAAGUUUCGAGUUCUUUUGGGUGUUGCUGUAAAUCACUUGGCACCAAUUGGAGGUCUCUUACCAUUUGCGGCUGGAUUAGGAGACUCUCGAGCUGAAGUAUCCGAGUUCUUCAGCAUGGCCGUUUGCAUUGUUGGGCACUCGUGGGGCAGCCCCAAGGCAGCUCCUCCAUCUCCACACGCACAAGGGGUUGACAGAUGACCGAAGAAGAGAUGUGACACUCGCUUUGACAAUUUGGUCUCCGGCCUGAGAAUGGUCAUAAUGACCAAUAUGGCGGGGACCACGUGACGAAGUGUCAAUCUGAAUGCCACAUAGAAACCAUACUCAGUGCCUUUGGCGCCAAGGAUGCAGAUAUCUUGUUGAAUGGCUCCAUCCAGUCCCAGGUCCACGGUGGACCGAAUGAAAAGUUCGGGCAGAGCCAAGAGCCCCGAGGCGACUAGAAGAGCUAAAAGUAGCCACCGGCAAUCCCGGAGCCGUUGCAAGCAAGAAUUUGUGGUUUUCACCAUCACCAUGCCUAUUAUUGCCACCAAAAGAUAGGCGGAUAGCCCUGAUAGCCAAGCGGAAAGCCAAUGGUAGACCUGUUGGGUGAUAGGUAAUACAAAAAUCAGCCAUGAGCUCGCAAUUGAUCAAUGAUAACGGUGAUCUGACUCUUAUCUGCGUACCUUGCAUGAUCCGGGUGUGCCACCCCACAACAAAUUACUCGCCUCCACCACCAACGAUCCCAAAACACUAAAUAAUAUCACAGCCACGUCACUCAGAGUGAGGCAGAGAAUCAGCACGGCAAAGAGACCGUUGCCAAAUUUGGUCCGUCGAAACAAGAUCACGGGCAAGGCCAAGAAGUUGGCCAAAAGUCCCACGGUGAGGACCAGAGACAGAAUCACCACAUUCUGCACCUGAAUAUCGGGAAACAUCACUCUCCCGCUUGCAUCACCUCCAACGGUGAAUGUGGGAAUGGAGGGUGAGAUGUGACCCACCGAACCUGAUUGAAGAUCAUCAUUGACUGACUCCUCCAGGUUGGAAGUGUAAUUGGUAUCCGGUCCUUUGAUGUAAUCGGCCAUGUCUUCCAGCACUUUCAUGUCAUUUGGAGCAUGUCAGAAUGAAUCACCCACCACUCGUUGUUGCCACUCGGCAAGGAGUUGAUUCUUACUCGGUAAUGAGUUAAUUAACGGCAAACUCACUUGACUUCAAGUCGUAUAAGUUGUGUAGUUCGUCCCAGGAACGUUGUCAGACACAAUGUAGAACACCGACGAGUGAGGACAUCUCGGAUGCAAUCUCGUUGUAUUGGAUUCCUUCACUCCCCUUCGUUGACAUGAGCAAAAGCUCUUUGAUCUCAAAGAAGAAAGUGAUUGUCGCGGUCAACCCGAUCCACAACGGGAUGGAUAGAUAGACAGACAAAUGAAACAACGUGGAGAAGUAACGAGAAGAUCCAAGUGGAUGAUCAAUACAAAAUCACUUACGGAUCUUUGACCAAUGGUCAUGACAUGAAUUCAGAACAAUCGUAAUCAUAGGGCCGGACAUGAUCCCAUGACACACUGCUCUUCUCGUUCCACCUUGUUAACACUUCAACGCAUGUCGUUAAGUUUUUUACAUGACAACGAAAUAUUUCGUUUCACUCGCUGCUAGCGAUUUGAAUCCCCAACUGACUGACUGAAAAAGUGAACGAACAUGCCUCGAUUUCUUCUACCCCAGUCCGAGAGAUGAGAUGACGCACGCCUCAAAUCACUUUAAGCCCGCUUCAAGACCCUCAUCUACCCAUAUACACUGCUUUACCCUCGGAAUCUACGACAGCAUUCGCUCCAGCGGCAUAGGUGCCUACUACUACAAUACCUUACGGAGUAGACUGCACGUAGUGAGUGCCUACUGCCAUACUGGCUUUUAAGCCCCCCUUGAAACACUUUUUUGGCACUCUUGAUCCUGAGUUGAGGCUUGAUAACUAACAGAAGCUCAUUGCCAUUGCCAACCCCAUUGAACUAUGAUUCCGAGAUAAUGAAUGGCUUCCUCUUAACAUUCAACUAAUAUUGCCAACUUUCCUCGCCAUGCUCUCGGUGAGAUCCAUCCAGCAGCCCUCUCACUGCUUGUUUCAAGCCGGUUUAUUGAAGGGAGCAUCAAUUAUGGUUUUGAUUGGUUGAGAUACCAGCCGAUAUUUCAGACCUCGUGAAAGAGACAGGUCUAGGUUUUCAAAGCUUAAAUCGUUUCUUCUGAAGCAGAGGAAGAGAGAACGACAUCUGACUGUGAAGAAUCUGAGACGGAUCUUCUCAUCGACUGUUUUUUUGCCCUUCCAAACAAUCUCUUUCACGCUAGUGAGCUCUCAUCAACUGAUGAAGUUGUUAAUGGUGAUCAAAUGGAGUUUCUGCUCAUUUGGGAUAGAAGGAAUGUCUUGAUUGGCGCAAGUUUUACUUCUUUUCAAUUCCCGACAGGACACAAGUAACAACAGAAGGAGGAGGCGACGACAACGGGUGUUUUAUGGACGGGGAGAGUCGUCAAUCCGCUAGGGUCGAUUGAAUUUUUGAGUGAAACGAUUCAAUGGGCACUUGAUUGUACUUGAUUCACGGGGGUGUUCAAUCAUUUUCUGAAUUUUUCUACUCUUCUCCCCCGAAUUCGAUUGAAAUUUCCUCCCUGCCUCUGCCUCCACCUCCAAGCUUGAACUGUACUACCAUCCCUACAAAAUUUGCCCCAAACUAUGGGAGACAACUAAAUCGCCCUGGACAAGAGUGUGACGUUCAAAGCUAUGGUUUUGUGUUGAAAUAUAAUGACGCCAAGAACUUCCAA
This is a long non-coding RNA of Tigriopus californicus, 3703 nucleotides long. RefSeq lists it as uncharacterized. The transcript has 2 exons. NCBI's taxonomy places the organism in Eukaryota, Metazoa, Arthropoda, Copepoda, Harpacticoida, Harpacticidae. The record is from RefSeq and is a predicted model, not a curated record.